CCCGCCCUCAGAUGUUUGGGACUCAGCUGAAGGCGGGGGGGUCCUCGCUGUGGGGGCUGAACCCCCCGGGGUUGUAAGGAGACAAAGGAAUCCAGGUCCAACUCUUCCCCGCUUUGGGGCUCGUUGCCCCGGCUGUCUCAUAGCUCUUCAUACCAGUGGCCCAUCUCAUACCAGGUGCCUGAAGGAGGCAGGUUCUGAGGAUCUGAGUCCUGAUGGCUGCUGAAGCUUCUACUCCAGAUUCAAGGGCAGCAGUCCUCAGGAGGCCCCAAUAUCUCACAUUCCUGGUGGAAUCUGAUGCCUGGAUCAAUGGAACAGCAGACAAGGCUGUGGACUCUGAGCCCCAAGAAUAG
Molecule: long non-coding RNA, 350 nt
Filed under: Ursus maritimus (polar bear)
Lineage: Eukaryota; Metazoa; Chordata; Mammalia; Carnivora; Ursidae
Description: lncRNA (ENSUMAG00000000618.1)
Source: RNAcentral